Molecule: ribosomal RNA, 292 nt
Filed under: uncultured bacterium
Lineage: Bacteria
Description: partial 16S ribosomal RNA
Source: RNAcentral
GGACUACUCGGGUUUCUAAUCCUGUUCGCUCCCCACGCUUUCGCUCCUCAGCGUCAGUUACGGCCCAGAGACCCGCCUUCGCCACCGGUGUUCCUCCUGAUAUCUGCGCAUUUCACCGCUACACCAGGAAUUCCAGUCUCCCCUACCGCACUCAAGCCAGCCCGUAUCGACUGCAGGCCCGGAGUUGAGCCCCGGGUUUUCACAGUCGACGUGACAAGCCGCCUACGAGCUCUUUACGCCCAAUAAUUCCGGACAACGCUUGCACCCUACGUAUUACCGCGGCUGCUGGCAC